AUGAACGCUGGCGGCGUGCCUAAUACAUGCAAGUCGCGCGCACGGACAAGAAGCUUGCUUCUCUGAUGUUAGCGGCGGACGGGUGAGUAACACGUGGAUAACCUACCUAUAAGACUGGGAUAACUUCGGGAAACCGGAGCUAAUACCGGAUAAUAUUUUGAACCGCAUGGUUCAAAAGUGAAAGACGGUCUUGCUGUCACUUAUAGAUGGAUCCGCGCUGCAUUAGCUAGUUGGUAAGGUAACGGCUUACCAAGGCAACGAUGCAUAGCCGACCUGAGAGGGUGAUCGGCCACACUGGAACUGAGACACGGUCCAGACUCCUACGGGAGGCAGCAGUAGGGAAUCUUCCGCAAUGGGCGAAAGCCUGACGGAGCAACGCCGCGUGAGUGAUGAAGGUCUUCGGAUCGUAAAACUCUGUUAUUAGGGAAGAACAUAUGUGUAAGUAACUGUGCACAUCUUGACGGUACCUAAUCAGAAAGCCACGGCUAACUACGUG
This 496-nucleotide ribosomal RNA is filed under the name uncultured bacterium. Its description in RNAcentral is "partial 16S ribosomal RNA". It matches the Rfam family "Bacterial small subunit ribosomal RNA", at positions 29 to 507 of the family's 1533-position model. The record is from RNAcentral.